GGUGAUGCGCAUGCGCGUGCCGCCUGCGCGGAAGAGGUGCGCGCGCAGGGGCGGCCGUUAGCGCCGGUAACGGCCGAGCUGAGGCCCUGCGCGGUGGGGCUGCCCGCGGGAGGCCAUGGCGCGGCGCGCCGUGGCGGGGUUGCUGCUGCUGGAGGCCGCGGGGCUGGUGGGCGCCAUGCUGCUCUACCGGCGCAUGGAGCACAGCCAAGACUUCAGAUAUACAAUGCAGAAGAGGUUUCCAUCAAUUCUGGAAGUUUAUUACAAAAGCAAUGAGUGGUCUGGAAUUCAUGGCAUAAGGGAGAAUGACCAAAUGACGUGGUUAAGCAGCAAGAAUUAAACCCUUUGUGCCUGAACUGUUUCUUCUUUUUGAUAAUACUUCUCACAUCCCUAUUGUGAAGCCACUUGUCACGCUCUACUUCCCACUUGAGCUGUUUGACACCUGAAAGAGGGAAGAUGAGAAUUAAGGAGCUGAUGGAUACCUCAGAGGAUAGACACUUCACAAUAAUUGUCAAACAAUUAUAUUGAACGUGGAUAAAUCAUGUAAAAGUUAAUACCUAGCUACUGUAUAAAUGCCAAUAAAGUGCAAACUGAUGAUUUUUUUUGA
Molecule: long non-coding RNA, 604 nt
Organism: Dromaius novaehollandiae (emu)
Lineage: Eukaryota; Metazoa; Chordata; Aves; Casuariiformes; Dromaiidae
Exons: 4
Source: RefSeq, a predicted model, not a curated record